GAUGAACGCUGGCGGCGUGCUUAACACAUGCAAGUCGAACGGUGAAGGCGGAGCUUGCUCUGCUGGAUCAGUGGCGAACGGGUGAGUAACACGUGAGCAAUCUGCCCCUGACUCUGGGAUAAGCGCUGGAAACGGCGUCUAAUACUGGAUACGAGCUGCGAAGGCAUCUUCAGCAGCUGGAAAGAACUUCGGUCAGGGAUGAGCUUGCGGCCUAUCAGCUUGUUGGUGAGGUAACGGCUCACCAAGGCGUCGACGGGUAGCCGGCCUGAGAGGGUGACCGGCCACACUGGGACUGAGACACGGCCCAGACUCCUACGGGAGGCAGCAGUGGGGAAUAUUGCACAAUGGGCGAAAGCCUGAUGCAGCAACGCCGCGUGAGGGACGACGGCCUUCGGGUUGUAAACCUCUUUUAGCAGGGAAGAAGCGAAAGUGACGGUACCUGCAGAAAAAGCGCCGGCUAACUACGUG
This 468-nucleotide ribosomal RNA is filed under the name uncultured bacterium. RNAcentral describes it as "partial 16S ribosomal RNA". It matches the Rfam family "Bacterial small subunit ribosomal RNA", at positions 28 to 507 of the family's 1533-position model. The record is from RNAcentral.